This 657-nucleotide ribosomal RNA is filed under the name uncultured fungus. RNAcentral's name for it is "LSU rRNA". It matches the Rfam family "Eukaryotic large subunit ribosomal RNA", at positions 23 to 664 of the family's 3401-position model. The record is from RNAcentral. Lineage: Eukaryota; Fungi.
ACCCGCUGAACUUAAGCAUAUCAAUAAGCGGAGGAAAAGAAACUAACAAGGAUUCCCCUAGUAACUGCGAGUGAAGCGGGGAAAGCUCAAAUUUAAAAUCUGGUAGUCUUUGGCUGCCCGAGUUGUAAUCUAGAGAAGCGUUAUCCGUGCUGGACCGUGUAUAAGUCUUCUGGAAUGGAGCGUCAUAGAGGGUGAGAAUCCCGUCUUUGACAUGGACUACCAGUGCUUUGUGAUGCGCUCUCGAAGAGUCGAGUUGUUUGGGAAUGCAGCUCUAAAUGGGUGGUAAAUUCCAUCUAAAGCUAAAUAUUGGCGAGAGACCGAUAGCGAACAAGUACCGUGAGGGAAAGAUGAAAAGAACUUUGGAAAGAGAGUUAAACAGUACGUGAAAUUGUUGAAAGGGAAACGCUUGAAGUCAGUCGCGUUGGCUAGGAAUCAGCCUUGCUUUUGCUUGGUGUACUUCCUGGUUGACGGGUCAGCAUCAAUUUUGACCGGUGGAAAAAGGCCAGUUGAAUGUGGCACCUUCGGGUGUGUUAUAGCUUCUGGUCGUAUACAUCGGUUGGGAUUGAGGAACUCAGCACGCCGCAAGGUCGGGGUUCGCCCACGUUCGUGCUUAGGAUGCUGGCAUAAUGGCUUUAAUCGACCCGUCUUGAAACACGG